AUUGCCUUAGUAGCGGCGAGUGAAGCGGCAAAAGCUCAAAUUUGAAAUCUGGCACCUUCGGUGUCCGAGUUGUAAUUUGAAGAUUGUAACCUUGGGGUUGGCUCUUGUCUAUGUUUCUUGGAACAGGACGUCACAGAGGGUGAGAAUCCCGUGCGAUGAGAUGCCCAAUCCUAUGUAAGGUGCUUUCGAAGAGUCGAGUUGUUUGGGAAUGCAGCUCUAAGUGGGUGGUAAAUUCCAUCUAAAGCUAAAUAUUGGCGAGAGACCGAUAGCGAACAAGUACAGUGAUGGAAAGAUGAAAAGAACUUUGAAAAGAGAGUGAAAAAGUACGUGAAAUUGUUGAAAGGGAAGGGUUUGAGAUCAGACUCGAUAUUUUGUGAGCCUUGCCUUCGUGGCGGGGUGACCCGCAGCUUAUCGGGCCAGCAUCGGUUUGGGCGGUAGGAUAAUGGCGUAGGAAUGUGACUUUGCUUCGGUGAAGUGUUAUAGCCUGCGUUGAUGCUGCCUGCCUAGACCGAGGACUGCGAUUUUAUCAAGGAUGCUGGCAUAAUGAUCCCAAACCGCCCGUCUU
Molecule: ribosomal RNA, 565 nt
Filed under: Meyerozyma caribbica
Lineage: Eukaryota; Fungi; Ascomycota; Pichiomycetes; Serinales; Debaryomycetaceae
Description: LSU rRNA
Rfam family: Eukaryotic large subunit ribosomal RNA
Source: RNAcentral